CCCAGAUGAAAGGGAAGAAAUGAGGAAUGGCUUCAGCAUCAAAGUAUACUCCCCAUCAGCAUAUCUCACCACUGGCGACUCACCCUUUGAAUGAAAACCCCUCAGAAAAAAUUCCAUGUGCUAUGAUGAAUUGCUGUCCACUCAACCAACCCAAGACCAGCAGGAACAAAGCCUACUCUGAAAAAGCCUACAAAGUUGUGUUCAUUGACACAUUGCAAAGAGACCACACACCAGGAGAACCAUAGGGUAUCUCCCCAAACAAGGAAAAGAAAAGAAUUACAGUAUGGGGCAAGGGGAGGAAUGGAAUUUAAGUGAAAUGUAUUUUGACAGACUCAAAGCAAGAUAGGUCUAAAUGUAAAGGUAUUAUUUUAAGUCCUGGACUAUGAAGCAGACCCAGGAACCUGUUUGCUGGGAAGCAAUAAGAUUAUUAUCCAUAGCUGUGGAAUACUGUGUCCAAAAACCCCUCCUCCAAAGCUCUGUACCUAGGGUUUGAAUCAAGGCUUCUUCUCUCUUGGUGACUUAGAUCCUCCAGGCAAGGGUGAGAUGUUUCACUCUAACAUCAUUUCAAACAGCAAUGUUUCUGAUAGUCUAAGAUUUUAGAGAAAAAAGGUUUCUCAGUGAGUCAGAAGGCACUACUCACUCCAAGAAGGGGGUUGUUGUGACCCUUUACCACUACAGUGUGCCCCUUGGGAGAAAUACUAUUUAUUGUUAACUUUGAAUCUGCUUUUAUCUUUUAUUCCAGCCUGAUGAAUGGCCAGGCAGAUUUUAACAGUCCAAGCUAAUUUUUACUUUCUCUUGUCUCAAUGGGGGUGACAGACAAUCAGGUCAUUACAACACAGUGGGAGAAGCAACUAUGAUGAGGGUUUAAUUUAGACUUCAUUUAGGUCAGGGAAGACUGUCUGCAGGAGGCAGACCUCCCAGCUGGGAAAAGCAGAAGCUGGCCGAACGAAAGUGGGAAGGAGGAGUGUUACAGCACAGUGAGGACUUGGGCAGAGGCACCAGAGUGGGGCAGAGGGUGGUAAAUUGGAGGAAUCACAAGUGUCAUUGAAGGCAAAUCAACGGAAUGUCUAGAAUGCUUUGGAGGACUGCGUAACACUUACAUCAGAACUUAGACCAAACUCUCCUCUGGCUAAGGUUAGAAAGCACAGGUCACUGGGAGUAUGUGUUCUCUGUUCAGGGGAGAGUCAUUAGCGUGGUCUUCCUAUGCAUAUACACAUGAAAGGCAAGUAGCCCCCAGAGGGGAAGUGCUAAGGGGGAGUUCCCCCGAGGUUUCCUAAGGCACCUGGUUUGCAAAGCUGAUCCCUGUGUGGAAAGUGGAGCCAUUUGUAGACUUGCCCUGAACCAUCCCAUCCUGUUUCCUGAGGACAUUUAGGGAACCAGGCUAGCCUUUAACCAAUGCUGAGUUUCAGGAAAGGACAAGGACAACCAAGAAAUAAAACCACCAUGAAGAAACAGGGUGUUUCUGAGAACUGAAUAUACCAGUGGGUGGUAUCAUUCAAGGUCCUGGGAGGGAACAGACUGCACAGUGAAACAGGAUAAUCCUCUUUCUCGUCUCUUCACUGGCCGAAACCAAUCAGGAACAAAGGGCAAGGAUUUAAUUGGUCCAGGUGGACCUGGGCAUCGGAGGUCAUGUAGCUCUGCAGGGCACUGCAGUGUGUGGUCAGCACUGAGGGCACCUCUCUCUGAGAGCUGCCAAGGCUGUCCCUGGAGGUCAUCCUCCAGGACAGAGAGCAAGGUGGAAAAGGGAGAACAGUGGAUUUGGAGGGACAAAGUAGAAAGUUCUAGAACACGGGCUAAUACUAAGGGCUCUUUUGGACUUGUUCACCCUGGCACAGAGGUUUUUCUCUGCAAAACAACAGCUGGAUUUGGGAAAGUGAGAUAAAAGGAGUUGUCACUUAUAGCACAGCAGGGAACAGCAGACCCUAGCACUGUGGACCUGGUGUCUUCAACAAACUGCCACUUUGGAGACAAGCAGUAGAAAGAAUUUUAAAUUAUUGAACUUACUAGUUUUAACUUAUAUUAUUUUAAAUGAUUUCUUAUUUAAAAAAUUAACGAGUGUCCAUGUUGGCACCCUUUGUUAGAGAAGCAGAUCCUGUUAGAGUGGUGACAGCCAAGUCUGGAGCCCUAAGCAAGUCUGGAAGGACAUGAGUGUCAGGUGGAGACUUUAUCCUGAGGGCAGUGUGGACCUGGAGGGCCUCCAGCAGGGAGCAGCAUGUGGUACUGGCUGCUUUUGCUGGAUUAUGCUGUGAUAGGCAAGCCCCUGCCCAUCCCUUACAUUACCAGGAAGGAUUGCAUAUUAAUUCUGUUGUCACCUGACUCCCUUGCCCAGAUGGGGAAGACAACUGUUAAGCACUAGAAGAGAAGACAAGAAAGGGGAGUCAGAACACAGGGACAAAAAACAGUACUUGCUUUUCAAUUUUGAGCCUUCAAGAUAUCGGCUGGAGAACUAGAAAAUCUU
RNAcentral lists this long non-coding RNA (2458 nucleotides) under Homo sapiens (human). RNAcentral's name for it is "non-protein coding lnc-ZNF860-2:1". Lineage: Eukaryota; Metazoa; Chordata; Mammalia; Primates; Hominidae. The record is from RNAcentral.